This is a long non-coding RNA of Clupea harengus (Atlantic herring), 1564 nucleotides long. RefSeq lists it as uncharacterized. The transcript has 6 exons. The record is from RefSeq and is a predicted model, not a curated record. Lineage: Eukaryota; Metazoa; Chordata; Actinopteri; Clupeiformes; Clupeidae.
UGCGGUACCCGGCUGCAGGUUGUGCAGUGCACGCAAGGAAACCGAGGAAAAGAAAUUAACACGAUGUCAGGCUUUAGACGGAUUCUUGGGAGAAAGUUUUUGAGUUAUGCCGUGUCAGGAAGAGUUUUAGAUGGUUGAGUCAACUUCUCGAUGACUAGCAGGCAGCAACGUUGAGUGAAUAGGAAAUAGGCCGUCCCACGUGGAGAAGUGGUCGAUAUGGUGAAUAGAAAAGGUGGCUGAACUCCUUGGUGGACGUCUGUGAUUGCAGCUCAUCUCCACCAGGCUCUAAAAAACCUUGGCAUGUGCACUACCAGGAUACAGAAUCAUUAUCCUGUGACCACUGAAGGGCAGGCAAGACAUGAAGUAGACACAGUAGUGGAGUGGAACAGAUGGCUGAAUUCCUAGGAGGACAUGCACAUCAACAGGGUGCAAAAUGAAUGUCUACAGCAGCUGAAUUCCAAAGAAGACAUGAAGAUGCCACACCAGGAUGGGAUUCAAUAAACAAAAACGUGGCUGAACUCCUUGGUGGACGUCUGUGAUUGCAGCUCAUCUCCACCAGGCUCUAAAAAACCUUGGCAUGUGCACUACCAGGAUACAGAAUCAUUAUCCUGUGACCACUGAAGGGCAGGCAAGACAUGAAGUAGACACAGUAGUGGAGUGGAACAGAUCACUGAAUUCCAAGGAGGACAUGCACAGCAGCAGGGUGCAAAAUGAAUGUCAACAGCUGCUGAAUUCCAAAGAAGACAUGAAGGAGACACACUAGUGGAGUGGAACAGGUGGCUGAAAUCCUAGGUGGACCUCUGUGAUUGCAGCAUAUAUCUCCACCAGGCUGAUAAAAACCUUGGCAUGUGCACUACCAGGAUUCAGAAACAUUAUCCUGUGACCACUGAAGGGCAGGCAAGACAUGAAGUAGACACAGUAGUGGAGUGGAACAGGUGACUGCAAGAACAACUGAAGUGUCUGUUGCAUACAAAUAUGAUCCUGUUGGUUUGCUGCAGGCUGUUCAGCGAGGCCUUGCCUGUAGUGGCUCUGUUCUUUCCUGUAAAGUCUGCUAGAGAAACCUGAGGUGGUUUGAGGCCCUGUUGUGUCUCCUCCAUGGCAAGGUUAUAGAAACCUCAGACAACUGAUUUGACCAUUUACCCUCUCGAUCAAAUGAAUGGCUGAAACAUUUAUAGAUUGUUUUCUGAUUCAGAUUCAUUCUUAUAGAAUACAACUUGGAUCAUGAUCACAUUGAUAAACAGAUCGAAAUUAAAGAGCUGUGUUUUGAAGCGCCUUAUAAUAUUUAAACUAAUUAAUAUAAAAAUGUGAACAAGAUGACUUAGUCAUUACAUAUAGUGUUUUCCUGACUGGCACCAUAGGGUUACAGCUUGCACCUCAAGGAAGAGUGAAUGUCUAAUGGCUCUGGCUAAUGUUCCAGUACUGGAGGUGGACAUUAAAGAUGAAUAACACAAAUUUGUUUUCUUCUCAGGUGUGUCUUGUGAUGUCCUGGAUUGAGGAGUUUAGUCAAUUGUGUGUGUGACCUAUAAAUACAUAUUUUGCAAUACAAUAAAGAACUUUUCAAGAA